UACGUAGGGUGCAAGCGUUAUUCGGAAUUAUUGGGCGUAAAGCGCACGCAGGCGGUCUGUCAGGUCUGAUGUGAAAUCCCCGGGCUCAACCUGGGAACGGCAUCCGAAACUGGCAGGCUAGAGUCUUGUAGAGGGAGGCAGAAUUCCAGGUGUAGCGGUGAAAUGCGUAGAGAUCUGGAGGAAUACCGGUGGCGAAGGCGGCCCCCUGGACAAAGACUGACGCUCAGGUGCGAAAGCGUGGGGAGCAAACAGG
RNAcentral lists this unclassified non-coding RNA (253 nucleotides) under uncultured Enterobacteriaceae bacterium. Its description in RNAcentral is "contains 16S-23S intergenic spacer region". It matches the Rfam family "Bacterial small subunit ribosomal RNA", at positions 524 to 776 of the family's 1533-position model. Lineage: Bacteria; Pseudomonadati; Pseudomonadota; Gammaproteobacteria; Enterobacterales; Enterobacteriaceae. The record is from RNAcentral.